UAGGGGGGUUCGUUUUUCUUGCCUUACGGGUAGAUCUCCCACCCUGUGUUAUCAUUACCUUUGUUGCUUUGGCGGAUCGUUCGGUUCUGUCGACCACCGGCUUCGGCUGGUGUGCGUCCGCCAGAGGACCCCAAACUCUGAAUAUUAGUGUCGUCUGAGUACUAUAUAAUAGUUAAAACUUUCAACAACGGAUCUCUUGGUUCUGGCAUCGAUGAAGAACGCAGCGAAAUGCGAUAAGUAAUGCGAAUUGCAGAAUUCAGUGAGUCAUCGAAUCUUUGAACGCACAUUGCGCCCCGUGGUAUUCCGCGGGGCAUGCCUGUUCGAGCGUCAUUUCAACCCUCAAGCUCUGCUUGGUAUUGGACCGUACCGGUAACGGUAGGCCCUAAAAUUAGUGGCGGUGUCGUCUGGUACUAAGCGUAGUAAUUCUUCUCGCUAUAGUCUCCCGGUGGUAUCUAGCCAGCAACCCCCAAUUUUCUAUGGUUGACCUCGGAUCAGGUAGGGAUACCCGCUGAACUUAAGCAUAUCAAUAAGCGGAGGAAAA
RNAcentral lists this ribosomal RNA (541 nucleotides) under Hyaloscyphaceae sp. I12F-02255. Its description in RNAcentral is "eukaryotic LSU rRNA". The stretch from base 177 to 330 matches the Rfam family "5.8S ribosomal RNA". The record is from RNAcentral. Lineage: Eukaryota; Fungi; Ascomycota; Leotiomycetes; Helotiales; Hyaloscyphaceae.